GUCUUUAUAGUAAAAAUAUUAAUACAUUGGUCUUGUAAACCAAAAAUGGGAACAUAUUUCUCUUAAGACA
This 70-nucleotide transfer RNA is filed under the name Erinaceus amurensis (Amur hedgehog). RNAcentral describes it as "tRNA-Thr". It matches the Rfam family "tRNA". Rfam says of the family: Transfer RNA (tRNA) molecules are approximately 80 nucleotides in length. Their secondary structure includes four short double-helical elements and three loops (D, anti-codon, and T loops). The record is from RNAcentral. Lineage: Eukaryota; Metazoa; Chordata; Mammalia; Eulipotyphla; Erinaceidae.